UGAUUCAAAUUUUGUUGGAAAGUAGACAUCCGUAGCUUUCCAAUGACUAUAAGAACAUAAAAUUUGGAGAUCAGAUGACAUUUGAGGAGUCUCCCGAACUUCAUGCUGAUGUUGGUACUCGAGAAGGUGUUUGAGUAAUGGUGCGGUUGGGGUUUCCUGCUCCUAAUCUCCAACCCACACACCAUGAAGGGUUGACACUUGUCCAACCUUUAGUUGGCAAGUUGUUUAGGAAGUUUAUCAUUAGAUUUGAAUUUUAAAAAAUGUCCUUAUCUGAUUUUGAGUCCAAGUAAAUCUGUUUGUAACUUCCAACCUCUUUCUCUUUAUAAGAGGAGGUUUCGAUGAAUGAAAUGAUAUCAAAUUUAUUUGAAAAAAAAAUUCUAGAGAUUUGUGAGAGAGAGACCACGAAAAGAAGUGCUCUUUUCCAGCCAUUGGUGAGACACCAUUGGAGAGAAGAAGAUAAAGGUGAGACGCCCCAACCUUCUCCUCAAAUUCUAGGAACCUAGGGUGUGAGACUCAACCUAGUUUCUUUAGUUAUCCUUUAGAAAUAAAUUCCAAAAAAAAAAAAA
Molecule: long non-coding RNA, 566 nt
Filed under: Phoenix dactylifera (date palm)
Lineage: Eukaryota; Viridiplantae; Streptophyta; Magnoliopsida; Arecales; Arecaceae
Description: long non-coding RNA (PDAC_LNC021543)
Source: RNAcentral